RNAcentral lists this ribosomal RNA (378 nucleotides) under uncultured bacterium. RNAcentral describes it as "bacterial SSU rRNA". It matches the Rfam family "Bacterial small subunit ribosomal RNA", at positions 521 to 896 of the family's 1533-position model. The record is from RNAcentral.
UAAUACGGAGGGUGCGAGCGUUGUCCGGAAUCACUGGGCGUAAAGGGCGCGUAGGCGGCUCGGUAAGCGGGCGGUGAAAGCCCGGGGCUCAACCCCGGGUCUGCCGUGCGGACUGCCGUGGCUUGAGCACUGUAGAGGCAGGUAGAAUUCCGGGUGUAGCGGUGGAAUGCGUAGAGAUCCGGAAGAAUACCGGUGGCGAAGGCGGCCUGCUGGGCAGUGGCUGACGCUGAGGCGCGACAGCGUGGGGAGCAAACAGGAUUAGAUACCCUGGUAGUCCACGCCGUAAACGAUGGGCACUAGGUGCUUGGGGGAGCGACCCCUUGAGUGCCGUCGCUAACGCAGUAAGUGCCCCGCCUGGGGAGUACGGCCGCAAGGCUG